Neurospora sp. IMI 360204 is the source of this 90-nucleotide non-coding RNA. Lineage: Eukaryota; Fungi; Ascomycota; Sordariomycetes; Sordariales; Sordariaceae. The record is from the annotation of a GenBank genome assembly.
GGGCAAUUGGUCUAGGGGUAUGAUUUUCGCUUCGCAUUCCAACAGAUGCGCCUUUGUGAAAGGUCACCGGUUCGAAUCCGGUAUUGUCCA